RNAcentral lists this microRNA (24 nucleotides) under Ananas comosus (pineapple). RNAcentral describes it as "microRNA s1227_c025b". Lineage: Eukaryota; Viridiplantae; Streptophyta; Magnoliopsida; Poales; Bromeliaceae. The record is from RNAcentral.
AAUUGCCCAAUCCUUUCUAGUCGU